CUGACUAGAGCUUGGUAUUAAGCAUUUUAUUUACACUAAAAAGUUAAUUGUGAAAUUCAAUUUAGUCUGA
This 70-nucleotide transfer RNA is filed under the name Brephilydia jejuna. Its description in RNAcentral is "tRNA-Val". The record is from RNAcentral. Lineage: Eukaryota; Metazoa; Arthropoda; Insecta; Coleoptera; Cerambycidae.